RNAcentral lists this ribosomal RNA (374 nucleotides) under uncultured organism. Its description in RNAcentral is "bacterial SSU rRNA". It matches the Rfam family "Bacterial small subunit ribosomal RNA", at positions 526 to 896 of the family's 1533-position model. The record is from RNAcentral.
CGUAGGGACCAAGCGUUGUUCGGAUUUACUGGGCGUAAAGGGCGCGUAGGCGGCAAAUUAAGUCAUCUGUGAAAUCUCCGAGCUUAACUCGGAACGGUCAGGUGAUACUGAUCUGCUAGAGUGCGGAAGGGGCAAUCGGAAUUCUUGGUGUAGCGGUGAAAUGCGUAGAUAUCAAGAGGAACACCUGAGGUGAAGACGGGUUGCUGGGCCGACACUGACGCUGACAGCGCGAAAGCCAGGGGAGCAAACGGGAUUAGAUACCCCGGUAGUCCUGGCCUUAAACGAUGAAUACUUGGUGUCUGGAGUCUCUAUAGCUCCGGGUGCCGUCGCUAACGUUUUUAGUAUUCCGCCUGGGGAGUACGCACGCAAGUGUG